GCAAGAUACCACGGGCGCACGGCGGAUGCCUUGGCACAGGGAGCCGAUGAAGGACGCGGCAAGCUGCGAUAAUCCCCGGCGAGGAGCACACAUCCUUCGACCCGGGGGUCUCCGAAUGGGCGAACCCAUCCACAGCAGUGUGGAUAUCCCCACCCCGAACACAUAGGGGUGGGGAGGACAACCCGGGGAACUGAAACAUCUAAGUACCCGGAGGAGAGGAAAUCAAUCUCGAGACUCCCCGAGUAGCGGCGAGCGAAAGGGGACCGAUGGCCAAACCGUCGAGCGGGCAUACCCGGCAGGGGUUCCGCCGACGGGGUUGCAGGGCCGCGCAUCCGGGGGCUGCCGCCCCCGGGCGCAGGUCCGGCUGGGGAGCGGAACGGCAUGGGAGGGCCGGCCGCAGCGGGUGACAGCCCCGUACGCGAACCCAGACCGGACGGCGCGACGCGGUCCCUGAGUAGGGCCGGGCACGUGAAACCCGGUCCGAACCUGGGUGGACCACCAUCCAAGCCUGAGUACUACCCUGUGACCGAUAGCGCACCAGUACCGUGAGGGAAAGGUGAAAAGCACCCCGGGAGGGGAGUGAAACAGUACCUGAAACCGUGCGCCCACGAGCAGUCGGAGCACCUUUUAAGGUGUGACGGCGUGCCUUUUGUAGAAUGAGCCAGCGAGUCGCUGGCGCGGGGCGAGGUUAACCGAAAGGGAGCCGAAGCGAAAGCGAGCCUUAACAGGGCGACUUGAGUCCCGCGCCGCGGACGCGAAGCCGGGUGAGCUAUCCGUGGGCAGGCUGAAGCGGGGGUAAGACCCCGUGGAGGGCCGAACGCACGUCGGUUGAAAACGGCGGCGAUGACCUGCGGAUAGGGGUGAAAGGCCAAUCAAACCCGGAGAUAUCUCGUUCUCCCCGAAAUAGCUUUAGGGCUAGCGUCGCGCGUUCACCGCCGGAGGUAGAGCACCGGAUGGACGAGGGGGCUUCGCCGCCUACCGAAUCCAACCGAACUCCGAAUGCCGGCGGCCCAGAGCGCGGCAGUCAGAGCAUGUGGGCUAAGCUGUGUGCUCGAGAGGGAAACAGCCCGGACCGCCCGCUAAGGUCCCCAAGUUCCAGCCGAGUGGCAAAGGAUGUGCGUCCGCCCAGACAACCAGGAUGUUGGCUUAGAAGCAGCCAUCCAUUCAAAGAGUGCGUAACAGCUCACUGGUCGAGUGGACAUGCGCCGACAAUACACGGGGCUAAGCUGGACACCGAAGCGGCGGGAUUUUACCUAAGUAGAAUCGGUAGGGGAGCUUCCCAUGGGCGGAGAAGCCGGAGGGCGACCGACGGUGGAGCGCAUGGGAGUGAGAAUGCUGGCAUGAGUAGCGAGAGACGAGAGAGUAACUCGUCCGCCGUGAACCCGAGGUUUCCUGGGCAAGGCUAAUCCUCCCAGGGUCAGUCGGGGGCUAAGGCGAGGCCGGGAGGCGUAGCCGACGCGCAGCAGGCAGACAUUCCUGCACCGCGCACGCGGCGCUACGACCGACGGGGCGACGGAUGGGGGUGGCUCGGCGGGGUUCUGGACGUCCCCGUGAUGGAGCGCGGCCCGCGGACCAGGGAAAUCCGGUCCGCAUCAAGGGCGAGGCUCCGGACGAAGCGACUGAGCGAAGCGAGUGAGCCCGAGGUCCCUAGAAAAACCCCUAGGCAGGCGCGUGCGCGCCCGUACCGCAAACCGACACAGGUGGGUGGGUAGAACAUACCGAGGCGAUCGGGUCAACCAUGGUCAAGGAACUCGGCACAAUGGCCCCGUAACUUCGGGAGAAGGGGUGCCCGCGCGUACGUGAACCGGCUUGCCCGGGGAGCGGAGGCGGGCCGCAGUGGAGAGGCCCAAGCGACUGUUUACCAAAAACACAGGACUCUGCAGAAGCCGCAAGGCGACGUAUAGGGUCUGACGCCUGCCCGGUGCCGGAAGGUCACGCGGAGGAGUUAGCCAUUUCGGCGAAGCCCCGAAGCCAAGCCCCGGUAAACGGCGGCCGUAACUAUAACGGUCCUAAGGUAGCGAAAUUCCUUGUCGGGUAAGUUCCGACCUGCACGAAAGGCGCAACGACUUGGGCGCUGUCUCGACCAUGGACCCGGUGAAAUUGCACUGGUCGUGAAGAUGCGACUUACCCGCGGAAGGACGGAAAGACCCCGUGAACCUUCACUGCAGCUUGGCAUUGGCCGCUGGUCCCGCGUGUAGAGGAUAGGCAGGAGGCUAAGAUCCGGAGGCGCCAGCCCCCGGGGAGCCGCCCUUGGAAUACUGCCCUCGCGCGACCGGCGUCCUAACCCGAGGCCGUCAACCGGCUCGGGGACCGUGCCAGGCGGGCAGUUUGACUGGGGCGGUCGCCUCCUAAAGGGUAACGGAGGCGCGCGAAGGUCCGCUCGGGACGGUCGGCAACCGUCCUUUUGAAUGCAAGAGUACAAGCGGGCUUGACUGCGAGGCCCACAAGCCGAGCAGGUGCGAAAGCAGGCUCUAGUGAUCCGGCGGCCCCGAGUGGGUGGGCCGUCGCUCAACGGAUAAAAGGUACUCCGGGGAUAACAGGCUGAUCUUGCCCAAGAGUCCACAUCGACGGCAAGGUUUGGCACCUCGAUGUCGGCUCAUCGCAUCCUGGGGCUGGAGCAGGUCCCAAGGGUACGGCUGUUCGCCGUUUAAAGCGGUACGCGAGCUGGGUUCAGAACGUCGUGAGACAGUUCGGUCCCUAUCCUCCGUGGGCGCAGGAGAAUCGAUGGAGGCUGCCCCCAGUACGAGAGGACCGGGGUGGACGCACCUCCGGUGAACCGGUUGUCGACCAACGGCACGGCCGGGUAGCCGCGUGCGGCGCGGAUAACCGCUGAAGGCAUCUAAGCGGGAAGCCGUUCCAGGGAUUAGUUCUCCUUCCGGUAAGGGCCCAGGUAGACUACCUGGUCGAUAGACGGCAGGUGCAAGGACGGCGACGUCCUCAGCCGAGCCGCACUAAUCGCCCGAGCUCUUCCGGAA
This 2975-nucleotide ribosomal RNA is filed under the name human gut metagenome. Its description in RNAcentral is "bacterial LSU rRNA". It matches the Rfam family "Bacterial large subunit ribosomal RNA". The record is from RNAcentral.